UACGGAGGGUGCAAGCGUUGUCCGGAUUUAUUGGGUUUAAAGGGUGCGUAGGCGGCUAUUUAAGUCAGCGGUGAAAGACAUCGGCUCAACCGAUGCAGUGCCAUUGAUACUGCUAUACUUGAAUAUAGUUGAAGUAGGCGGAAUGUGUAGUGUAGCGGUGAAAUGCUUAGAUAUUACACAGAACACCGAUAGCGAAGGCAGCUUAUUAAAGAGUAACUGACGCUGAGGCACGAAAGUGUGGGGAUCAAACAGG
Molecule: ribosomal RNA, 253 nt
Filed under: uncultured bacterium
Lineage: Bacteria
Description: partial 16S ribosomal RNA
Rfam family: Bacterial small subunit ribosomal RNA
Source: RNAcentral